CAUUACCUAAAAGUUAAGCAAGUUGUGUACCCUUUACUUCUCCCCUUUUUACUUUUCCCCUUUUCUCCAACUUUCUCCCACACAACAACCUAGUUUCAGCUCCUUGGUUCUCGCAUUCUUGGUGUCAUUUUGGUUAUCUGUGAGGUUAGGUUAUCAAAAACGUUAGGGUGAAGGUCAAACUCUUUACCCUCUUUGUUCUAAAGCUAGUUUGGUGGUUGGGCUAUGGCUUCUAGCAUGGAGAUGAAAAAUCUAGUUGAAUACUAAAGGCAAAGGCCUAAAGCAUAUAUAGUUCCCAGAAAGUCCCAAGCCUUGAUUCCAUCAGAGAGUGCCCUCAAGCUGUCCUAACUUUCUCAGAACUUAAUUCUUAAGGGAUCCUAAAGCAGGAUUAGUAGGUGUGUACAUAUGGUACACUUCAACACAAAAGCAAAACUUUUCUUUUUCUAUAUCCUUGUUUUUGUCGUUAAUGUAACUAAUUUAAUCAUUUGGUAAAGGUCUUUCUAGGUUAUAAUAUCAUUAAUUUGUUGCAUCACUUUCUUUUGGCCCUUUAAUUUGAGUUUAGUAUGAGAAGUGCCAUAGAUACUAUGAUACAGCUACUAAUUUGGUUGAUUUGUGGUAUAUAUAAUGUGGGAAACCCAAGAUUUGGUUA
Molecule: RNA transcript, 646 nt
Organism: Vigna unguiculata (cowpea)
Lineage: Eukaryota; Viridiplantae; Streptophyta; Magnoliopsida; Fabales; Fabaceae
Source: RefSeq, a predicted model, not a curated record